RNAcentral lists this long non-coding RNA (227 nucleotides) under Lathyrus oleraceus (garden pea). Its description in RNAcentral is "Pisum sativum (pea) long non-coding RNA (PSAT_LNC030596)". Lineage: Eukaryota; Viridiplantae; Streptophyta; Magnoliopsida; Fabales; Fabaceae. The record is from RNAcentral.
GUUCAAUGGGUUUGAGAAACAACCUGCAUAAAGAUUUUGAUAUGAAAAGCUCUUUGAAAAUCAAACAAGACAAUCGUUAUGCAGAUGAAAAGAUUGCUUUUAUUCUUGUUUUUUAGGGUUUUUUGUGAUCACCAAUUUCAUGCAAAAAGCGAAAAGGGAAAACAAAUGAAAAACAAAUGUUUAACAUGAAUUUAUUUGAAUGAAAAUAUCAUUGCACAAAAUGUUGC